Molecule: ribosomal RNA, 497 nt
Filed under: uncultured bacterium
Lineage: Bacteria
Description: partial 16S ribosomal RNA
Rfam family: Bacterial small subunit ribosomal RNA
Source: RNAcentral
GAUGAACGCUGGCGGCGUGCCUAAUACAUGCAAGUCGAGCGAACAGACGAGGAGCUUGCUCCUUCGACGUUAGCGGCGGACGGGUGAGUAACACGUAGGUAACCUACCUAUAAGACUGGGAUAACUUCGGGAAACCGGAGCUAAUACCGGAUAAUAUUUCGAACCGCAUGGUUCGAUAGUGAAAGAUGGCUUUGCUAUCACUUAUAGAUGGACCUGCGCCGUAUUAGCUAGUUGGUAAGGUAACGGCUUACCAAGGCAACGAUACGUAGCCGACCUGAGAGGGGGGUCGGCCACCCUGGAACUGAGGACCGGUCCAGACUCCUACGGGAGGCAGCAGGAGGGAAUCUUCCGCAAUGGGCGAAAGCCUGACGGAGCAACGCCGCGGGAGUGAUGAAGGUCUUCGGAUCGUAAAACUCUGUUAUUAGGGAAGAACAAACGUGUAAGUAACUGUGCACGUCUUGACGGUACCUAAUCAGAAAGCCACGGCUAACUACGUG